GCUGAGAUGCAGUGGAGCGGAGGUGUGAGUGCCUGGCUUAAAACAGGACAUAUUAGCUGCAUUUAACCUUCAGUUACUUUUUAUAUAGUUAGGUAGGAGUCAGACCAUGUUUCUUUUUAGCUGAAAAACAUUACACCAGAGAGACAGCCAGGUUCAUAAUAGAUAAAAGGAAGUUUUUUCAAAAAAAGGAGCCACAUUCAGUCCAAAGAGGGAGAGAGGAAAGAGGGGAAUGUGAGGAGAAAGUACAAGGUCAGGAAGAACCAGGUAAGAAAACAGACAGGGAACAGUGACAGGCAAAACAGAAACUGUUAAACUGACGAAGAGAAAAAACCUGAUUUUACUCAUACAGUCUGGAAGUUGUGCUCUCCCUAUAUUAAAGCUGCUAUACAGAAUCUGCAAAACAAACUGGGUUGAAACACUUUUGACCCUCUUUAACAACAUUCCAACAUAACAUUAUAAUUGAUUGGGGAGAUUAAAAUUAAUGAUAUAUUUUUAUGUGGUUCAGCCACAACUCUACUAAAACCUCAGCCAGUAAUAGGUAGGCUAACCUUUGGACCGUCCAGUUGUCUGUAUGACUGCUGCAGUACGUGCACCACAUUUGUGCACUAUCAGAAAGUGCCAAACAGCCCUGGUGGAGUGAGGAGCUGUAAAGAGAAGCAGAGUGCUCUGUUUAUAUUCUAAAAAUGUUUUAAGCUAUCUUGUUUCAAAGAUUCUGUACUGCAGCUUUAAAUGUUUUCCAAAAGCAC
Oreochromis aureus is the source of this 746-nucleotide long non-coding RNA. NCBI's taxonomy places the organism in Eukaryota, Metazoa, Chordata, Actinopteri, Cichliformes, Cichlidae. The record is from Ensembl.